GUGUCAGCCGCCGCGGUAAUACAGAGACCUCGAGCGUUAUCCGGAUUUAUUGGGCGUAAAGGGUCCGCAGGCGGCCGUGUAAGUCAUAUGUCAAAUCUCUGGGCUCAACCCAGAAUCGGCGUGUGAUACUGUACGGCUAGAAGCUGGGAGAGGCACAUGGAAUUACUGGUGUAGCGGUAAAAUGCGUUAAUAUCAGUAAGAACACCAAAGGCGAAGGCAGUGUGCUGGAACAGUCUUGACGCUCAGGGACGAAAGCGUGGGGAGCGAAAGGGAUUAGAUACCCCCGUAGUCC
Molecule: ribosomal RNA, 292 nt
Filed under: uncultured bacterium
Lineage: Bacteria
Description: partial 16S ribosomal RNA
Rfam family: Bacterial small subunit ribosomal RNA
Source: RNAcentral